This is a long non-coding RNA of Pseudophryne corroboree (corroboree frog), 868 nucleotides long. RefSeq lists it as uncharacterized. The transcript has 3 exons. Lineage: Eukaryota; Metazoa; Chordata; Amphibia; Anura; Myobatrachidae. The record is from RefSeq and is a predicted model, not a curated record.
GUGGGUUCUAAUCCUGGGUAUGACACCUGUAAAAUUUGUAUCUAUAAUGAAGUUGGUGUGACUUGUAAGGUGCAGGGACCAGUGGGGGAGCCACCCGCAGAAGGGAUAGUGGUGGCUGUCAAUUAACUUAAUUGAAUGGUGUUGCAGAAUGGGAGGAGAGGUGCCCCCACUACAGAGCAGGAGCCCGGCGGCAGCUGACUCCAUUUCCUCCCACAGUUACGCCUCUGUCUUGUUUCCACAUGGGAGGUAUGGCUUUUCGGUUUCAAUUCUUCCAUGAAGACCUUUUUUGGCAAGACUUCUCCAAACAGUAGAUGGGUGUACCUGGGUCCCACUGGUUUCUGCCAGUUCUGAGCUGACGGCUCUGCUGGACAUCUUCCGAUUUUGAAGUUGUAUUUAACUGUCAAGAAGUAACCCUGGCGGAGAGAAUCCCCUGCGGUGGUGCAGACUUCACCUUCGAUAAAUGUAAAUCUUUGGGCUGCUGCUAUCUAUCAAAUUACCCCGGUGUCCCUUUGUGUUACACCAAAUUAAUAAGGCAACCUGUAGUGGUGAUCCCAACGCCACCACCACAGAAAAGUGAGGACGAAAAACUGAAAGAGUUGUGCAUAGAAUGUGAAAGAAAAAGAAGUAAGGGUAUCCUGGGUUUUGUUUCUACUAUUCUAUUUGGAAAUAAAUAUCCGGAAUGCAAUAUAUGCCCCAGUCGUGGACUUCUGAAACGGGGAAAUAUUAUCUCAUAUCCCGGCGAGGAACAGUCAUCUUCUCAUAAAUGGAAGAACUGAAGACUCCUACAGAGAAACCAAUAUAAGCGAUGUGUGUAGGUGUAGCGCACAUUACUCUAUGGGGGUAAUUCCAAGUUGAUCGCAGCAGGAAA